Molecule: ribosomal RNA, 226 nt
Filed under: Kryptoperidinium foliaceum
Lineage: Eukaryota; Dinophyceae; Peridiniales; Kryptoperidiniaceae
Description: partial Bacterial small subunit ribosomal RNA
Rfam family: Bacterial small subunit ribosomal RNA
Source: RNAcentral
GAUGAUCAGACACACUGGAACUGAGACACGGACCAGACUCCUACGGGAGGCAGCAGUAGGGAAUCUUCCACAAUGGACGAAAGUCUGAUGGAGCAACGCCGCGUGAGUGAAGAAGGUUUUCGGAUCGUAAAGCUCUGUUGUUGGUGAAGAAGGAUAGAGGUAGUAACUGGCCUUUAUUUGACGGUAAUCAACCAGAAAGUCACGGCUAACUACGUGCCAGCAGCCG